RNAcentral lists this ribosomal RNA (259 nucleotides) under uncultured Glomeromycotina. RNAcentral's name for it is "partial 18S ribosomal RNA". It matches the Rfam family "Eukaryotic small subunit ribosomal RNA", at positions 624 to 886 of the family's 1831-position model. The record is from RNAcentral. Lineage: Eukaryota; Fungi; Glomeromycota.
AAGCUCGUAGUUGAAUUUCGGGGUUCUAUCGUUGGUCGGGCUAUCCAGUCUGUACUAGCGUGUAGAAUUCUUACCUUCUGGGGAACCAUCAUGUUAUUAAUUUAGCGUGGUGGGAAACCAGGAUCUUUACCUUGAAAAAAUUAGAGUGUUUAAAGCAGGCUCACGCUUGAAUACAUUAGCAUGGAAUAACGGAAUAGGACGUUUGAUUCUAUUUUGUUGGUUUCUAGGAUCGACGUAAUGAUUAAUAGGGAUAGUUGGG